RNAcentral lists this ribosomal RNA (274 nucleotides) under uncultured bacterium. RNAcentral's name for it is "partial 16S ribosomal RNA". It matches the Rfam family "Bacterial small subunit ribosomal RNA", at positions 523 to 796 of the family's 1533-position model. The record is from RNAcentral.
AUACAGAGGGUGCGAGCGUUAAUCGGAAUUACUGGGCGUAAAGCGCGCGUAGGCGGCUGAUUAAGUCAGAUGUGAAAUCCCAGGGCUCAACCUUGGAACUGCAUCUGAUACUGGUCAGCUAGAGUUUAGGAGGGGGAAGUAGAAUUUCAGGUGUAGCGGUGAAAUGCAUAAAUAUCUGAAGGAAUACCAGUGGCGAAGGCGGCUUCCUGGCCUAAAACUGACGCUGAGGUGCGAAAGCGUGGGUAGCAAACGGGAUUAGAAACCCGAGUAGUCC